This 522-nucleotide ribosomal RNA is filed under the name uncultured bacterium. RNAcentral's name for it is "bacterial SSU rRNA". It matches the Rfam family "Bacterial small subunit ribosomal RNA", at positions 355 to 869 of the family's 1533-position model. The record is from RNAcentral.
UGGGGAAUUUUGCGCAAUGGGCGAAAGCCUGACGCAGCAACGCCGCGUGUGUGAUGAAGGUCUUUGGAUUGUAAAGCACUUUCGACCGGGACGAAAACCUGUUGGCUAACAUCCAGCAGCUUGACGGUACCGGGAGAAGAAGCACCGGCUAACUCUGUGCCAGCAGCCGCGGUAAUACAGAGGGUGCAAGCGUUGUUCGGAAUUAUUGGGCGUAAAGCGCGUGUAGGCGGCUUUGCAAGUCGGAUGUGAAAGCCCUCGGCUCAACCGAGGAAGUGCGUUCGAAACUGCAGAGCUUGAGUACCGGAGAGGGUGGCGGAAUUCCCCAAGUAGAGGUGAAAUUCGUAGAUAUGGGGAGGAACACCGGUGGCGAAGGCGGCCACCUGGACGGUCACUGACGCUGAGACGCGAAAGCGUGGGUAGCAAACAGGAUUAGAUACCCUGGUAGUCCACGCCGUAAACGAUGAGAACUAGGUGUCGUGGGUGUUGACCCCCGCGGUGCCGUAGCUAACGCAUUAAGUUCUC